Molecule: ribosomal RNA, 465 nt
Filed under: Streptococcus sp. oral taxon 058
Lineage: Bacteria; Bacillati; Bacillota; Bacilli; Lactobacillales; Streptococcaceae
Description: bacterial SSU rRNA
Rfam family: Bacterial small subunit ribosomal RNA
Source: RNAcentral
ACGCUGCCGGUGCCUAAUACAUGCAAGUAGAACCAAGGGAGCUUGCUUCUCUGGAUGAGUUGCGAACGGGUGAGUAACGCGUAGGUAACUGCCUGGUAGCGGGGGAUAACUAUUGGAACGAUAGCUUAAUACCGCAUAAUAUUGACUUAUUGCAUGAUAGUAAUUAAAAGGUGCAAUUGCACCACUUACCAGAUGGACCUGCGUUGUAUUAGCUAGUGGUGAGGUAACGGCUCACCAAGGCGACGAUACAUAGCCGACCUGAGAGGGUGAUCGGCCACACUGGGACUGAGACACGGCCCAGACUCCUACGGGAGGCAGCAGUAGGGAAUCUUCGGCAAUGGACGGAAGUCUGACCGAGCAACGCCGCGUGAGUGAAGAAGGUUUUCGGAUCGUAAAGCUCUGUUGUAAGAGAAGAACGAGUGUAGAGUGGAAAGUUCACACUGUGACGGUAUCUUACCAGAAAGG